GGACGAACGCUGGCGGCGUGCCUAAUACAUGCAAGUAGAACGCUGAAGAGAGGAGCUUGCUCUUCUUGGAUGAGUUGCGAACGGGUGAGUAACGCGUAGGUAACCUGCCUUGUAGCGGGGGAUAACUAUUGGAAACGAUAGCUAAUACCGCAUAACAAUGGAUGACACAUGUCAUUUAUUUGAAAGGGGCAAUUGCUCCACUACAAGAUGGACCUGCGUUGUAUUAGCUAGUAGGUGAGGUAAUGGCUCACCUAGACGACGAUACAUAGCCGACCUGAGAGGGUAGGCGGCCACACUAGGACUGAGACACGGCCCAGACACCUAGCGAAGAGAGCAGUAGGGAAUCAUCGGCCAUGGGAGCAAACCUGACCGAACACCGCCGCGUGAGUGAAGAAGGGUCUCGUAUCGUAAAGCUCUGUUGUAAGUCAAGAACGGGUGUGAGAGUGGAAAGUUCACACUGUGACGGUAGCUUACCAGAAAGGGACGGCUAACUACGUG
Molecule: ribosomal RNA, 498 nt
Filed under: uncultured bacterium
Lineage: Bacteria
Description: partial 16S ribosomal RNA
Rfam family: Bacterial small subunit ribosomal RNA
Source: RNAcentral